Molecule: ribosomal RNA, 2920 nt
Filed under: Bacillus thuringiensis serovar kurstaki str. YBT-1520
Lineage: Bacteria; Bacillati; Bacillota; Bacilli; Caryophanales; Bacillaceae
Description: 23S ribosomal RNA
Source: RNAcentral
AUGGUUAAGUCCUCGAUCUAUUAGUAUUCGUCAGCUCCACAUGUCACCAUGCUUCCACCUCGAACCUAUCAACCUGAUCAUCUUUCAGGGAUCUUACUAGCUUACGCUAUGGGAAAUCUCAUCUUGAGGGGGGCUUCAUGCUUAGAUGCUUUCAGCACUUAUCCCUUCCGCACAUAGCUACCCAGCUAUGCCCUUGGCAGAACAACUGGUACACCAGCGGUGCGUCCAUCCCGGUCCUCUCGUACUAAGGACAGCUCCUCUCAAAUUUCCUACGCCCACGACGGAUAGGGACCGAACUGUCUCACGACGUUCUGAACCCAGCUCGCGUACCGCUUUAAUGGGCGAACAGCCCAACCCUUGGGACCGACUACAGCCCCAGGAUGCGAUGAGCCGACAUCGAGGUGCCAAACCUCCCCGUCGAUGUGGACUCUUGGGGGAGAUAAGCCUGUUAUCCCCGGGGUAGCUUUUAUCCGUUGAGCGAUGGCCCUUCCAUGCGGAACCACCGGAUCACUAAGCCCGACUUUCGUCCCUGCUCGACUUGUAGGUCUCGCAGUCAAGCUCCCUUAUGCCUUUGCACUCUACGAAUGAUUUCCAACCAUUCUGAGGGAACCUUUGGGCGCCUCCGUUACACUUUAGGAGGCGACCGCCCCAGUCAAACUGCCCACCUGACACUGUCUCCCGGGUCGAUAAGACCCGUAGGUUAGAAUUUCAAUACAGUCAGGGCGGUAUCCCACCAGCGCCUCCACCGAAGCUAGCGCUCCGGUUUCAAUGGCUCCCGCCUAUCCUGUACAAACUGUACCAAAAUUCAAUAUCAGGCUACAGUAAAGCUCCACGGGGUCUUUCCGUCCUGUCGCGGGUAACCUGCAUCUUCACAGGUACUAUAAUUUCACCGAGUCUCUGGUUGAGACAGUGCCCAAAUCGUUACACCUUUCGUGCGGGUCGGAACUUACCCGACAAGGAAUUUCGCUACCUUAGGACCGUUAUAGUUACGGCCGCCGUUUACUGGGGCUUCAGUUCAGAGCUUCGCUUACGCUAACCCCUCUCCUUAACCUUCCAGCACCGGGCAGGUGUCACCCCCUAUACUUCGCCUUACGGCUUCGCAGAGAGCUGUGUUUUUGCUAAACAGUCGCUUGGGCCUAUUCACUGCGGCUUUCCGUUAAGAAAGCACCCCUUCUCCCGAAGUUACGGGGUCAUUUUGCCGAGUUCCUUAACCAGAGUUCUCUCGCACACCUUAGGAUUCUCUCCUCGCCUACCUGUGUCGGUUUGCGGUACAGGCACCUUUUAUCUCGCUAGAAGCUUUUCUUGGCAGCGGGGAAUCAAAGACUUCGCUCCAUAAGGAGCUUCCCCAUCACAGCUCAGCCUUCACGAUAAGCGGAUUUGCCUACUUAUCAGCCUAACUGCUUGGACGUGCACAACCAAUCGCACGCUUCUUCUAUCCUUCUGCGUCCCUCCAUUGCUCAAACGAUAAAGAGGUGGUACAGGAAUAUCAACCUGUUGUCCAUCGCCUACGCCUGUCGGCCUCGGCUUAGGUCCUGACUAACCCUGAGCGGACGAGCCUUCCUCAGGAAACCUUAGGCAUUCGGUGGACGGGAUUCUCACCCGUCUUUCGCUACUCAUACCGGCAUUCUCACUUCUAAGCACUCCACCAGUCCUUACGGUCUGACUUCACUGUCCUUAGAACGCUCCCCUACCACUGAUACCAUUGGUAUCAAUCCGCAGCUUCGGUGGUGUAUUUAGCCCCGGUACAUUUUCGGCGCAGAGUCACUCGACUAGUGAGCUAUUACGCACUCUUUAAAUGGUGGCUGCUUCUAAGCCAACAUCCUAGUUGUCUAAGCAACUCCACAUCCUUUUCCACUUAAUACACACUUUGGGACCUUAGCUGGCGGUCUGGGCUGUUUCCCUUUUGACUACGGAUCUUAUCACUCGCAGUCUGACUCCUAAGGAUAAGUCAUUGGCAUUCGGAGUUUGACUGAAUUCGGUAAUCCGAUGAGGACCCCUAGUCCAAUCAGUGCUCUACCUCCAAGACUCUUACACUUAAGGCUAGCCCUAAAGCUAUUUCGGGGAGAACCAGCUAUCUCCAGGUUCGAUUGGAAUUUCUCCGCUACCCACACCUCAUCCCCGCACUUUUCAACGUGCGUGGGUUCGGGCCUCCAUUCAGUGUUACCUGAACUUCACCCUGGACAUGGGUAGAUCACCUGGUUUCGGGUCUACGACCACGUACUAAACGCCCUAUUCAGACUCGCUUUCGCUGCGGCUCCGCCUCUUCAGCUUAACCUCGCACGGGAUCGUAACUCGCCGGUUCAUUCUACAAAAGGCACGCCAUCACCCGUUAACGGGCUCUGACUAUUUGUAGGCACACGGUUUCAGGAUCUCUUUCACUCCCCUUCCGGGGUGCUUUUCACCUUUCCCUCACGGUACUGGUUCACUAUCGAUCACUAGGGAGUAUUUAGCCUUGGGAGAUGGUCCUCCCAGAUUCCGACGGAAUUUCACGUGUUCCGCCGUACUCAGGAUACAUUCAAGAGAGAACGAAGUUUCGACUACGGGGUUGUUACCCUCUACGACGGACCUUUCCAGGUCGCUUCGUCUACCUCGUUCCUUUGUAACUCCGUAUAGAAUGUCCUACAACCCCAAGAGGCAAGCCUCUUGGUUUGGGCUAUGUUCCGUUUCGCUCGCCGCUACUCAGGAAAUCGCAUUUGCUUUCUCUUCCUCCAGGUACUUAGAUGUUUCAGUUCCCUGGGUCUGUCUUCCUUACCCUAUGUAUUCAGAUAAGGAUACCAUACCAUUACGUAUGGUGGGUUUCCCCAUUCGGAAAUCUUCGGAUCAAAGCUUACUUACAGCUCCCCGAAGCAUAUCGGCGUUAGUCCCGUCCUUCAUCGACUCCUAGUGUCAAGGCAUCCACCGUGCGCCCUUUCUAACUUAA